RNAcentral lists this ribosomal RNA (253 nucleotides) under uncultured bacterium. Its description in RNAcentral is "partial 16S ribosomal RNA". It matches the Rfam family "Bacterial small subunit ribosomal RNA", at positions 524 to 776 of the family's 1533-position model. The record is from RNAcentral.
UACGUAGGGGGCAAGCGUUGUCCGGAAUCAUUGGGCGUAAAGAGCGCGUAGGCGGUCCGAUAAGUCGGUUGUGAAAACUGGGGGCUCAACCCUCAGAGGCCGACCGAUACUGUCGGGCUAGAGUCCGGAAGAGGCGAGUGGAAUUCCUGGCGUAGCGGUGAAAUGCGCAGAUAUCAGGAGGAACACCAAUGGCGAAGGCAGCUCGCUGGGACGGUACUGACGCUGAGGCGCGAAAGCGUGGGGAGCGAACAGG